UAUUAUAUUUGGCAAACCCGUCGAAAGGCGGUGGCGCAAAGCUAAAGGGUCUAAGUAGAAGUAUAUGACAGCCAGUUGCAAUC
This is a regulatory RNA element of 83 nucleotides. It matches the Rfam family "c-di-GMP-I riboswitch aptamer". From Rfam's summary of the family: GEMM was predicted in a large-scale screen for bacterial structured RNA regulatory elements. Genes associated with GEMM are involved in a diverse array of functions, including chemotaxis regulation, signal transduction, secretion and chitin. The record is from Rfam.